Molecule: transfer RNA, 83 nt
Filed under: Candidatus Woesearchaeota archaeon
Lineage: Archaea; Nanobdellati; Candidatus Woesearchaeota
Description: tRNA-Ser
Rfam family: tRNA
About the family: Transfer RNA (tRNA) molecules are approximately 80 nucleotides in length. Their secondary structure includes four short double-helical elements and three loops (D, anti-codon, and T loops).
Source: RNAcentral
GCCGCGAUCGCAUAACCCGGUAUUGCGCCGGCCUUGAGAGCCGGUUCCGUAAGGAAUUCCCAGUUCAAAUCUGGGUCGCGGCG